CAGUCGCCGCGGUAAUACGUAGGGUGCAAGCGUUGUCCGGAAUUAUUGGGCGUAAAGAGCUCGUAGGCGGUUUGUCGCGUCUGCUGUGAAAUCCCGAGGCUCAACCUCGGGCUUGCAGUGGGUACGGGCAGACUAGAGUGCGGUAGGGGAGAUUGGAAUUCCUGGUGUAGCGGUGGAAUGCGCAGAUAUCAGGAGGAACACCGAUGGCGAAGGCAGAUCUCUGGGCCGUAACUGACGCUGAGGAGCGAAAGCGUGGGGAGCGAACAGGAUUAGAUACCCCUGUAGUCCCUGUCUCUUAUAC
RNAcentral lists this ribosomal RNA (301 nucleotides) under uncultured bacterium. RNAcentral describes it as "partial 16S ribosomal RNA". It matches the Rfam family "Bacterial small subunit ribosomal RNA", at positions 509 to 807 of the family's 1533-position model. The record is from RNAcentral.